GAUGAAGAACGCAGCGAAAUGCGAUACUUGGUGUGAAUUGCAGAAUCCCGUGAACCAUCGAGUCUUUGAACGCAAGUUGCGCCUCAAGCCAUUAGGUUGAGGGCACGUCUGCCUGGGCGUCACAUAUCGUUGCCUGAUGCCAGUUUCCUCGUGAUGGGUGACUGUGCAGGGCGAAUGAUGGCUUCCCGUGAGCAUUGUUGCCUCAUGGUUGGUUGAAAAUUGAGUCUUUGGUAGGGAGCGCCGUGAUAGAUGGUGGUUGAGUGACGAACGAGACCCAAUCAUGUGAGACCCCUACCGAAUUUGGCCUUCAUGACCCACAUGCGUCUUUGGAACGCUCAUGACGAGACCUCAGGUCAGGCGGGGCUACCCGCUGAGUUUAAGCAUAUCAAUAAGCGGAGGA
RNAcentral lists this unclassified non-coding RNA (400 nucleotides) under soil metagenome. RNAcentral describes it as "partial contains 5.8S ribosomal RNA, internal transcribed spacer 2, and large subunit ribosomal RNA". The stretch from base 1 to 122 matches the Rfam family "5.8S ribosomal RNA", at positions 35 to 154 of the family's 154-position model. The record is from RNAcentral.